Molecule: ribosomal RNA, 468 nt
Filed under: uncultured bacterium
Lineage: Bacteria
Description: partial 16S ribosomal RNA
Rfam family: Bacterial small subunit ribosomal RNA
Source: RNAcentral
GACGAACGCUGGCGGCGUGCUUAACACAUGCAAGUCGAACGGAAAGGGCCUGCUUUUGUGGGGUGCUAGAGUGGCGAACGGGAGAGUAACAUGUGAGUAACCUGCCCAUGACUUUAGGAUAACUUCAGAAAACUGGUGCUAAUACCGGAUAGGAGAGGCUGCAGGAUGGGGGGGGUUGGAAAGCUUCGGCGGUUGUGACUGGACUCCCGGCUUAUCAGCUUGUGGGUGGGGUACUGGCUAACCAAGGCUUUGACUGGUAGCCGGCCUGAGAGGGUGACCGGCCACAUUGGGCCUGAGAUACGGCCCAGACGGCAACGGUGGGCAGCAGUGGGGAAUCUUGCACAAUGGGCGGAAGCCUGAUGCAGCAACGCCGCGUUCGUGAUGACCGCCUACUUGUUGUAAACCGCUUUCGCCUGUGACGAAGCGUGAUUGACGGUACUGGGUAAAGAAGCACCGGCUAACUACGUG